UAGGGAAUCUUCCGCAAUGGACGCAAGUCUGACGGAGCAACGCCGCGUGAGUGAAGAAGGAUUUCGGUUCGUAAAACUCUGUUGUUAGAGAAGAACAGCGCAUAGAGUAACUGUUAUGCGUGUGACGGUAUCUAACCAGAAAGCCACGGCUAACUACGUGCCAGCAGCCGCGGUAAUACGUAGGUGGCAAGCGUUGUCCGGAUUUAUUGGGCGUAAAGCGAGCGCAGUCGGUCAAUUAAGUCUGAUGUGAAAGCCCCCGGCUCAACCGGGGAGGGUCAUUGGAAACUGGUUGACAUGAGUGCAGAAGAGGGGAGUGUAAUUCCAUGUGUAGCGGUUAAAUGCGUAGAUAUAUGGAGGACCACCGGUGGCGAAUGCAGCUCUCUGGUCUGUAACUGACGCUGAGGCUCGAAGGCGUGGGGAGCGAACAGG
Molecule: ribosomal RNA, 429 nt
Filed under: Bacteroidota bacterium
Lineage: Bacteria; Pseudomonadati; Bacteroidota
Description: Bacteroidetes bacterium partial 16S ribosomal RNA
Rfam family: Bacterial small subunit ribosomal RNA
Source: RNAcentral